This 468-nucleotide ribosomal RNA is filed under the name uncultured bacterium. Its description in RNAcentral is "partial 16S ribosomal RNA". It matches the Rfam family "Bacterial small subunit ribosomal RNA", at positions 28 to 507 of the family's 1533-position model. The record is from RNAcentral.
GACGAACGCUGGCGGCGUGCUUAACACAUGCAAGUCGAACGGAAAGGCCCUGCUUUUGUGGGGUUCUCGAGUGGCGAACGGGUGAGUAACACGUGAGUAACCUGCCCUUGACUUUGGGAUAACUUCAGGAAACUCGGGCUAAUACCGGAUAGGAGCUCCUGCUGCAUGGUGGGGGUUGGAAAGUGUCGGCGGUUGGGGAUGGACUCGCGGCUUAUCAGCUUGUUGGUGUGGUAGUGGCUUACCAAGGCUUUGACGGGUAGCCGGCAUGAGAGGGUGACCGGCCACAAUGGGACUGAGAGACGGCCCAGACGCCUACGUGAGGCAGCAGUGGGGAAUAUUGCACAAUGGGCGGAAGCCUGAGGCAGCAACGCCGCGUGCGGGAUGACGGCCUUCGGGUUGUAAACCGCUUUCGCCUGUGACGAAGCGUGAGUGACGGUAAUGGGUAAAGAAGCACCGGCUAACUACGUG